This 323-nucleotide unclassified non-coding RNA is filed under the name uncultured fungus. Its description in RNAcentral is "partial contains 5.8S ribosomal RNA and internal transcribed spacer 2". The stretch from base 1 to 133 matches the Rfam family "5.8S ribosomal RNA", at positions 22 to 154 of the family's 154-position model. The record is from RNAcentral. Lineage: Eukaryota; Fungi.
UGGUUCUGGCAUCGAUGAAGAACGCAGCGAAAUGCGAUAAGUAAUGUGAAUUGCAGAAUUCAGUGAAUCAUCGAAUCUUUGAACGCACAUUGCGCCCGCCAGCAUUCUGGCGGGCAUGCCUGUUCGAGCGUCAUUUCAACCCUCAGCCCGCAAGGGCUGGUGUCGGGGCCCCCGGCGGCAACGCUGGGUCCCUCAGAGUCAUCGGCAGACCCCCGCGGUCUCCGGGCGCAGUACUGCAUCUCGCCCUGGAGCACGCGGCGGCUCCCGCCGCAAACCCCCCAAUUUACAAGGUUGACCUCGGAUCAGGUAGGAAUACCCGCUGA